GAUGAAGAACGUAGCGAAAUGCGAUAAGUAAUGUGAAUUGUAGAAUUCAGUGAAUCAUCGAAUCUUUGAACGCACCUUGCGCUCCUUGGUAUUCCGAGGAGCAUGCCUGUUUGAGUGUCAUGAAAUUCUCAACCCCCCCGUCUCUUUCGAGAGGCGCGGGGGCUUGGACUUUGGGGGUCUUGCUGGCUGAAAAGUCGGCUCCCCUUGAAUGCAUUAGCUGGACUGUCCGAUGUAUUUCGGAGCGGUAUGCGGUGUGAUAACUAUCUACGCCAUUGUAAAUCCGUCCUGUCAAGCUUCCAACCCGCGUCUCUCCCCUCUGCGGGAUUGCGCACUUUUAUCAAUCUGACCUCAAAUCAGGUAGGACUACCCGCUGAACUUAAGCAUAUCAAUAAGCGGAGGA
RNAcentral lists this unclassified non-coding RNA (400 nucleotides) under soil metagenome. RNAcentral describes it as "partial contains 5.8S ribosomal RNA, internal transcribed spacer 2, and large subunit ribosomal RNA". The stretch from base 1 to 120 matches the Rfam family "5.8S ribosomal RNA", at positions 35 to 154 of the family's 154-position model. The record is from RNAcentral.